Molecule: transfer RNA, 84 nt
Filed under: Pseudovigna argentea
Lineage: Eukaryota; Viridiplantae; Streptophyta; Magnoliopsida; Fabales; Fabaceae
Description: tRNA-Tyr
Source: RNAcentral
CCUUCUUAACUUAACCCAAUUUCCAGAUUGAUUAUCGUUUUUUUAUUUCCCGGUUUAGUAUUAGAUAUAAAUAUACCUAUCUAA